GAAAAAUAUAUCCACACACAGGCAGGGAUGGGUCAAAGAACAGCACAUCUUGAUGACAGCACAACACAUGAAGAGUUAAGGGAUGCCCUGAAUGAUUUGUUUCCCAAACUGAAGGAGGUAACAGGUGGCUGGCUGCUGUUCAAACCUGGGGGUGGUUGGGGAAGCCGAAAACUCUCUCUGGUUCCUCCAGCUGAUAUUGGCUAUACAGGGGCAAUCCUAAAGGCUGCCAGUCGUGGGGGUAAAAACAUAUAUAUUGCUCCUAUUCAAGAGGAACUUAGCAAUGACCCUGUACCACUAAGCGAUGAGUCCUUCAGAUGCAUGCCAAAAGCAAAAUGCCAGAAGUGUGGCAUAGGUGUUCCACUGCAACUUCUGUCAGAACACCUAAAAUCCUGCCCUCUUUUGGAAACUCCCAGUGAAAGUACUGUGGUGAAUUUAGAUGGUGAUGAACCUACGGAGAAGUAAUGUAGGUUUUUUUGACAAUUUCAUACUAACAUAUUACCCAAAAGCAUAAAGUGUUAAGAGCUAGCUAGAAGGAAAAAUGAAAUGUUAUUAAAAUAAACUUUGUCCUUUCAAAUUUAUUUCACAACAGCACCAUUGCAGCAGUGUCCUGUCU
This is a long non-coding RNA of Oreochromis niloticus (Nile tilapia), 613 nucleotides long. RefSeq lists it as uncharacterized. The record is from RefSeq and is a predicted model, not a curated record. NCBI's taxonomy places the organism in Eukaryota, Metazoa, Chordata, Actinopteri, Cichliformes, Cichlidae. The transcript has 3 exons.